AGAAAGGUAGGUUAGUUUAAACCUCUGAAUUGUGGUUUCGGGAAUGUCAGAAGACCCUUUUUU
Molecule: transfer RNA, 63 nt
Filed under: Aporrectodea rosea
Lineage: Eukaryota; Metazoa; Annelida; Clitellata; Crassiclitellata; Lumbricidae
Description: tRNA-His
Source: RNAcentral